This is a long non-coding RNA of Musa acuminata AAA Group (dessert banana), 670 nucleotides long. RefSeq lists it as uncharacterized. Lineage: Eukaryota; Viridiplantae; Streptophyta; Magnoliopsida; Zingiberales; Musaceae. The record is from RefSeq and is a predicted model, not a curated record. The transcript has 2 exons.
UAAUGCUGAAACCCACGGUAAUGCACAAAAAGCGACAAAGUCCAGCGUUGGCACGCGGAAACUUCUCCGGCCAACGUAGAGGAGGGUAGAAAUUAAGGGAGAAAGGAGGAGGAGGAGGAGGAGCCAAUUGUGGGUUGCUGAGAUCCAAAGAUGCACGCCAAGACCGACUCCGAGGUCACGAGCAUCGCGCCCUCGUCGCCCGCCCGGCCGGUGUACUACGUGCAGAGCCCGUCGCAUGACUCCCAUGACGGCGCAGAAGAACUCGAAGCCGGCUACUCCUCGCCCUCCCCCUCCUGUCUUCGGUUUCGGCGGCGGCGACGACGACUAUGACAUCGAGAGAUUGAGGAGCAGCACAAAAAGGCAAUGGAAGAGGAUUCGACUACGACGGGAUUUACGACGAGAUGAAGGGGAAGAUUGCGCGCCCCAAGGUUCAGGAUCGAACGGAGAGAAAGUUACACUUUUCCCUACGUUUGAAUGAAAAAGAUCCUUUUGAUUACGCUGAUGAUCGCAUGGAAUUACCAUAUUACCAUGUUUCGUGGUGAUAUAUACAGGUUUUUAGUGUCAUCACUGUAUGUCAUGGUUCUUUGCUUGGAUUCAUUGUCUUGUGCAUUUUGUGCUGUAAUGUCUAGAGGUUUCUGGUGUCAUCAUCAUUGCAAGUUCUGCUUCUUUA